This 2532-nucleotide long non-coding RNA is filed under the name Bos taurus (domestic cattle). RNAcentral describes it as "long non-coding RNA NONBTAT015474". Lineage: Eukaryota; Metazoa; Chordata; Mammalia; Artiodactyla; Bovidae. The record is from RNAcentral.
GACCAGGUCAGUAAAUGUUUGAAUAGGUAUUCCAGAUCUGUCUGGCUCCCAAAUUCAGUUACCUCUAUUUGUACAUUUAGGGUUCCUCAUACCCCUGCCCCCCGGCAGGUCUCUAAGCUUACUUUUCUUCCCUAAACACAUUAGAACAUACAUAAGUUUGGUAUUUCUUCCUGGGGAUUUUCCCCAUAAGUGAAUCUGGGUACAUAGGCUUGAAGAUGAAUGGCUUGUGACCUAUAUUUCUGGUUGGUUUUAGCAGGAAGAGUAGUCAGGCUUUGUACCUAGGCUGCAUUCCCAGGAUGACCUUGGGCAGGGUGGCCAACCUCUCCAGGGCAGUCACUUCUGAAAAGGUGACGUGUUUUGUUUGUAAGGCGAUAUAUAGAAUGAGAAGCCAAGCACAGCACCUAGCCUUUACACAGGUAAAAUGUUCUUUGCCUCCAGAGGAGAGGACUUCCGGUUAGUUCCAAGUCCUGUGAGCGCCCUGAUGGCGGUACUCCAAAAACAGGCCUGGAGCUCAGGUGGCCUUAGAGGGUACUUUGCCUCUCCUUUUAGUAAGGGUGGCCUUUUAAAUGUGCAGUUACUCAAAAGGAAGGAAUGAUUUAAAGUUUAGUGUUAACUACCUAUUUAUAUUAUUACUUACUAAAAUCUUGAGCUUGUUUCAUGUUUCAAGCUGGGAGCUUGGUGGUGGAAAGAUUCUGAGCUGACUUGACUUGCCCAAGCUACUGUUGAGUCUAGAAAGCCUUAGAUUGAAGGAUAGUCUGUUUGUCAUCAUGGAGAUUGAAGGAUAGUCUGUUUGUCAUCAGGAGUUCUGUUUGUCGUCAUGGGGAUUAGAUGAAAAAGAUCCAGAGUUAGAAUGGGGCCCAGGUGUGGAAGAGACCUGGAUGGGAGAGGAUGCUAUGGUGCAAGUCAGACCUCACUCAUUUGCUAACUCUAUUAAAACCUUGCUCUCGCUCAGAUCAUCUCAGAGGUGGUCUUUGUACGUUUCUAGCCCUGGUUCAGACUGUUCCAUAGAAAUCGGAGACACUUGGGUUUAGUUCCAGAAAUCAUUUUGAUGACUAACUGCAGUACAGGGAACUAAUCCCAUUGGGCCUGGAUUUGACUCUGUGUAAAGUUAUUCAGUUCACACAGGGUGUGGUGUUAAAGAGUGGGUUAACUGGUGGGUGAACCAUUGCUGUCACUGACAUUUGGCUUUAAGAUGCCUCCUUGCUCAAGUUCAAGUUCCUUCCAUGUUGUUUCAACAUCAGUUUAAAAAAGACAGUGGGCUACUAUGUUUACUGAAAGGGCCUUAGCAAGUGCAGGCAAUCUGGCCUUUGAUAUGAUACUGGAGAAUUCUCCCCUUGCCAAAAGGGAAAGGAGUUUUUUAAUUUGAUGUGUUUUGUUUUGUUUUGAGAUAAUGUGUCGUGCGUUUAAGAAGAAGACAUAGUAUUCAGUGAGGGUUGAAGUCAAGCAGUUUUAGUCUGGAAACCCCUGUGCGUGUGUGUGUUUGGCUGGCUGACUGUGGUGUUAUGCAAUUAAAAUCCUUUUGUGAAAGGUGUGGUCAUUUAAAAAUGUAUAUUGUCAUUCUGUAGUCUUUCCUAUUGCCCAGCAUUUACUGAGCACAGUAAAUAGCCAGGCAUUCUGAUUUUCAGAAGCUAGUGAUAGGAGCAGAUGAUACAAAGAUGAAUCACAUAAUAUCUCAAGGAGUUUCUAGCCUAAUAGAAUUGUAUUAUUAGUCAGUUUGAGGCAUGUAAUCCCAGGCAAUCAGAUUGAGGCACAGUUCCGUCACUUGAGGAGUUAAUAGGCUCCAUAUCUGGCUUCUCUCAUGUCUAACAAAGUCUUUCUGGCAUAUAUGGUGAUCCUUAGUCUCUUAAAUCAUUAAGGUGCUUGACUGGAUUCUUGGAUCUGGAGAGACUGAGUGUAUGUAGGGCCUUAGAAGAAAAAGACAUUCAUUUGAAAUCGUAUUCAGGGAUAUAAGGUUACGUAGACAUCAUUACCUAGGAAAAAAAAAGUAAGGCAGAUUCCUAAUUUGUCAUAAAAUGGUUCCCUGCUUCCUCUGGUAUUUUGGAAAGCUGUGAUUUUAGGCAGUAUAGACCAGUUGGAUUUUCUUUCUCCUUUGAGCACAGGUUCUGUUGCUUUUGUUAUUUUUGUCACAACAUUGGCCUGUGUCUUCCUGGUAACCUUGAGAUCUGUACAUUUGAGAAGAAAUUUGAGUAUUGAUGCUUGGUUCCUGUCUCUCCUUUUCUAUCACUUUUUAUUUCUUCCACUGAUAAAGUUAAAUACAUAGAAACAAACGUUGACAGUCACACAAAUACUUAGGUUAAGUUCUUUUAAACAGAUGGUACAGUAUGAAAGAAGCUUCUUGGCAGUUUCAGUUGCAGAGAAUAGAUUAGAACUGGCUUGUGGGGGGAUUUAUAUCCAGUCUUUGAGAAUCCCUUUAAUUGAAACUCUUCCGAAGGCUGGAAUUUUUUUAAUUAUAGCCUUUGUUCAGACCAGCCUCUGAGAAGAAAAACAAUCAAGGCAAUUAAGAUAGCAUUAAAUUUUUGAUGAAAAGUUGGC